CAGAUGAUAUAUCUGUAGAGCUUUUGUUAGAAAAUAUAUUCCAAAGCCAAUCGUUAGCCUGUUAACAGUUGUGCUCAUAUAUAUAAUUAUAUAUGAAUUAUUUAUUAAUAAGAGUUAUUUGAUAUUUUUUAUCACAAAGUUUAUAUCUUUUUGUUUGAACUCCUAUGUUAUGAUGAAGUCUUUAGGACUAUUUUAAAUCGUUAAAGAAAGAUUUAUCA
RNAcentral lists this long non-coding RNA (218 nucleotides) under Elaeis guineensis (African oil palm). Its description in RNAcentral is "long non-coding RNA (EGUI_LNC062924)". Lineage: Eukaryota; Viridiplantae; Streptophyta; Magnoliopsida; Arecales; Arecaceae. The record is from RNAcentral.